Molecule: ribosomal RNA, 253 nt
Filed under: uncultured bacterium
Lineage: Bacteria
Description: partial 16S ribosomal RNA
Rfam family: Bacterial small subunit ribosomal RNA
Source: RNAcentral
UACGUAGGGUGCGAGCGUUAAUCGGAAUGACUGGGCGUAAAGCGUGCGCAGGCGGUUUUAUAAGACAGGUGUGAAAUCCCCGAGCUUAACUUGGGAAUUGCAUUUGUGACUGUAAGGCUAGAGUGUGUCAGAGGGGGGUGGAAUUCCACGUGUAGCAGUGAAAUGCGUAGAGAUGUGGAGGAACACCAAUGGCGAAGGCAGCCCCCUGGGAUAACACUGACGCUCAUGCACGAAAGCGUGGGGAGCAAACGGG